Molecule: long non-coding RNA, 780 nt
Filed under: Monodelphis domestica (gray short-tailed opossum)
Lineage: Eukaryota; Metazoa; Chordata; Mammalia; Didelphimorphia; Didelphidae
Description: lncRNA (ENSMODG00000030943.2)
Source: RNAcentral
UCUUUUCAUUUUCUUUUUUAAAUAGGAUCAUAGAUGUGAAGCUGAAAGAAAAGUAUAGAUCAGAAUCCCUAACACCUUCAAUUUUCAAGUAAGGAAUCUGAGACUCAGAGCCUUACCCAAAGUCACUCAGCUAAUGAAUAGUAUUAACCAGGACUGGAAUUCAGAUCAUUUGACUCCAAAGUCAACAUUCUCCUACACUAUACCCUGUCUUUGUUCCCUCUUCUAGUGCUUUCUUUACUGAGGCACUAAGGCUUUGUGAGCUGGUUUCCUGUGAUGUCUCUUCAGUACAAUGCAAGGUUCUGUAGUUUGCUAUUCGUAAUCUAACUCUGGCAAAUGUCUUGGGGAAAAUGGGAAGCAAAAGGAAAAUGCGUCUGAGUCAGGCUGAAUGAAUUCUGCAACUCCUGCUGAAGUCAGCCAGAUCUGUGGACAACAGGAUUCACCGCUUUGUCCACAUUUACUGGGAAAUAUAACAAAAGAAGAGGAAAAACCAGUGAAGAUCAGUUUAACCUAUCCAUCAAGGAAGAGAAGAGCCAAGUGGAUGAAGGAAGUCAUAGAAGACAGAAGGCAUCAAUGGUGAGGGAACACAUUCUAGGCAUGGAGGAUAGCUAGAGAAAAUACCCACAGAUGAGGGAUGAAGAGUCUUGUUCAUGGAACAGCAAGAAGGCUUGUGUCAUUGGCUGAAAAAAUUGUGGGGAAUUAGUGUUGUAUAUGUAUGGGAAGGCUAUAGGUUAUGAAGGGCUUUUAGCCCCUAAUAAAAGAAAAUUUUGCAUUUGAUAAUCA